GACAGUUACAUGAAAUCUAUAGGUCCAAAAUCUGAGAUCUGAAUCAUACAAGAGAAUGCAGAUCAACCGACAAAUCAUUUACCAACGGAUCUCCAACCAGUAACUGACCACAAAAUGUAAACAAAACAAAGGAUACUUUCUUAUUUGACCCGACGGAACAGAAAGAAAAAGAUAUGACACACUCAAUAAGACUCCAGAAUAGGGAGGUAACAUGGCCCCAAGAUCUUCCUCGUAGUUGUCACUAGUAGAUUCAAAAGAUCUCCAGACUGAUGUAGCUAGAAAGGUGAAAAAAACGGCCUAACAUGCCUGUCUUUGCUAAGUUUCCCCCUCUUCACAUGAAAUCAUAAUCAUCAUAACCAUCAUAUGCAUUUACUACUGCAUCAUCAUCUGCCUUAUCAACAUGUAGCUGCUUCUUCUUUGCACCUGUCUUCUUUUUACUCGCAGUGGCUUCCUUUUCUGCUUUAAUCUUCUCAUUUGCAAAUGCAGUAAUAGAAGAACCAAUGUCUUUAGCAUCUUGCCCUUUCAACGAGGUCAUCGACAAUCUCAUAACAGCCUUGAGCAACCCAAUGUAGUGGUAGCUUUUCUCAAACGGUCGCAGCUUAUGAGAUAUCAGCUCAGCAUAUUCCAAGAAGUCACUCUCACUUUUUGGGAUAAAAUUUUCUAGGGUCUUGUCAUCACCACCUUUCUUGGCAAACAAUUCAGCCGUGGACUUAUAAUCAGCUUCUUCUACAAGCCUUUGCUGGCGAAGUUUUUCUGCUACUGGAUCUAGAGGCUCUUCAUUAGUAUGAACUUCCUUGCCUUUCUUUUCACCAGCCUUUGCAGCAGACUUCUUGGGGGCCUUCUCAGCAGGAGGUUCUGGUUUAGGUGCCGGAGCAGGCUCCUCUUCAUCUUCCCAAGAUUCUUUUACAUCAUCAUCAUCUGCAUCUUCAUCAUCCCAUUUACUUGUUGGCUGAUCCUUCUUAAGUAGAUCUGGAACUGGUAUAUCCUCCCAAUCCUCCAUCUCCAGUUAAUUC
RNAcentral lists this unclassified non-coding RNA (1013 nucleotides) under Hevea brasiliensis (rubber tree). Lineage: Eukaryota; Viridiplantae; Streptophyta; Magnoliopsida; Malpighiales; Euphorbiaceae. The record is from RNAcentral.